This 7008-nucleotide long non-coding RNA is filed under the name Homo sapiens (human). RNAcentral's name for it is "long independently transcribed non-coding RNA 2700, transcript variant 8 (LINC02700)". Lineage: Eukaryota; Metazoa; Chordata; Mammalia; Primates; Hominidae. The record is from RNAcentral.
GUGAGACUGUGAAUUCUUCAAAAGCAGGUACUGUGUUUAAUGAAGUGUGCCCAGGACUUUGCUCAGUGACUGGAUGACACAGUAGGAGUAACAAGAAAGUUCACAUGGGUGAACCGUGGUAGGUGGACAUCGUCUCUCUCACCUCUUCCCAAAUCAAGGAUGAAGUACAUCUUCAUAAAUCCUCAUGUGAAUUAUUUUGCUACCUCUAGAAGCAUUUUCUAAAACAAGGUGCAGCAAUCAGUUGAGUGAAUUUGUCACCAGAGCUUAUGUUUUCUGAAAGAACCCUAUCCUCAGGCAGUUGUUCCUAAGAGAUUCCACAAAUAUGUCAGCGCUGGAAAUGAUCCUUUGGCUUUGAACUAUGUGAAGACUGCAGAAGGACUGGUUGGUAAGCACCCACAUCCUGGGGUGAGAAUCACAUCCAGUUUAUACCUCCCUGUGCACACUUGUAUAAAACAACUAUAAGACACACGAGAGAUCUGGAAGCCAGUUCCUCAUAAGUAAGAAUUGGUCAGGCUGCAUUUGUAUCCUGGGUCCACAAGACAUCGUUUCCUUAAAACCAAUCCCCCUGAUUUUGCUAAGAUGAAGAAACUGAGGUCCAGAGAAGUUAAACGACCUUCCUAAGAUUACACAGCUUAGUAAGUGGCAGAACCACAGCUGGAAGCCAGGUCCUUCCUCACGCAAGUCCUGGCUCAUUCAUUCCUCUUCCAAAGACUUGCUGAGCACCUUCUAGGUGCCAGAUGCGGUGCUGGCUCCUGGGGACAUGGGAGUGAACAGGCCAGGCGUGGCCCUGAACCAUCAAAUAGACAACCACAGAAAUAACAACAACAAAGACAAAACCGGGCCCUUCCACACAGUAGCUGGAACACAAAGGAAGAUCAGCCAAGCCUCAACAUAAUCUCAUAAAAAUUCUUCAAAUAUCCCAUUGUUAUGGAUUCAUACAUCAGGAAAGCAGAUGCCAAGAACCUGAACACCUUCUACUGGUAACAUAUAUUUUGGCGAGCCAGCCUGGAGACAAGACCACUAUGGGCAACUUCCUGUCUAUUCUACCUGGUGUCACUGUGGACAACUUCCUAUCUAUUCCACCCGAUUCACCGCUUGGCUACAUCCUCCACCAUUGGGAUGAAUUUGACCCUAACAAUCUAAAGAAAAGGCAUAUGAUUUUUUACUGCAAUAUUGUUUGACACAAUUAUGAGCUGCCCAAUCCGGAACAAUGGGCAGUCAAUGGUAGCCUUAAUUAUGAUACCAUCCUGUAUCUAGACCUAUUUUACAAGAGGCAGGGCAAAUGGUCAGAAGUCCCACAUAUACAGGCCUACAUGACCCUAUACGAAGACCUAAGAAUCUAGGAAACUCCCAGAACCCAUCCCCCGAAGGAAAGUUCUGGGGCAGAACUAGAUAUUAUAGAUGAACCCCCUUUUACAAGGGAUACCUGUCUCUCAGAGUGAGCAGUGACUGUCCCCAUAUAACCCCUCACCAAGUGCUCCUGAGGCUGAAACCCAGGGGCAAACAUGGGGAACCCUACUAAGUCCCCCUCACACUUGGAGGGGAACACUGUAUUCAACUCUCUAUCCAGCCCUGCUACUCUCAGAGAAAUAGCAGGGGCUGAGGGGCCAAUCCUAGUGUGGGUCCCCUUCUCUAUGAUUGAUAUACAACAAUGUAAGGAAAAGCUAGGAAGCUAUUCUGAGGAUUCCGGGAAGUUUGCAGAUGGGUUCCAAACUUUGACCUUAGCCUUUGAUCUCUCAUGGAGAGACGUUCAAUUCACUCUAGCAACCUGUUGCACCUCCUCGGAAAAGGAACGAAUCUUUGAGGCUGCCCUCCGAGAAGUGGACGAAUUAUUCACCCAAAACCGUAAAGGCAGUCACCCAGGCCCAGCCACAGUUCCCACUACGCAUCCUAAUUGAGACCAAGACACCCCCGCAGGAAGGAACAACUGGGCUAAAUUUCUUGAGGCUCUUGGAGGAAUGAGAAAGGGAAUAACUAAGGCAGUAAAUUAUGAUAAAGUAAGGCAGAUUACACAAGGCAGGGAGGAAAACCCAGCUGUGUUUUACGGCAGGCUGCGGGAAGCCUUUAAAAAAUAUAUACUAAUUUGGUCCCUUCCUCUCCUGAAGGCAAGUUAUUAAUGGCACAACGUUUCAUUAGCCAAUCCACACCAGACAUUAGACGUAAGCUCCAAAAGCUACACAUGGGGCCACAAACUAACCAAAAUCAGCUUCUUGGUACUGCCUUCAUGGUGUAUAACAAUCGUGACCUGGAGGAAGGAGAAGGGAAACAGAGUAAAGAAAAACGGCAAGCCAAAAUUAUGUUAGCCAUCACUGGUGAUGCCCUAAAUGCACAAAGAUUGUCCAAGGGAAACUCAAAGGGCCAUAAGGAUAAUGCCAGCAAAGGCUCUUGCUUCAAAUGCAAUAAAAGUGCGAUUGGGCACAGGAAUCCACUAAGCCCCCGCCAGUCCCCUGCCGUCAAUGUAAAAGCACCAGUUGUGGCUCCUGGCCCUGGAGAAUUGACUGUCCCUGCUCCCACCAAGGGGCUCAGUCAGUCAAAACUCUGGCAGUGCACAAGGAGGAAUCAGAUGAAGACUGAAGGGGCCUGGGGCCUUCCUCACUGCCCCGUCUAGGAACAUUGUAAUUACUACUGAGGAACCCUGGGUAACUCUGGACAUCAUGGCCACCCAAAUUCAGUUUUUAUGUGAUACCAAGGUGAAUUAUUCUGUACAACUGCUUAUGCAGGAAAACUUUCCUCCCGGUCCAUGAGUGAUAUUGGAUGGAAGGGAAGCCACAAACAAGAUUCUUACUCCUCCUUUGGUUUGUCAAUUUGAGAAACAAAUCUUCCAACAGGAAUUUUUAGUAGUACCAAGCUGCCCAAUUCCCCUGUGGGAAAGAGAUAUUAUGGUGAAAAUAGUGACACUACUGCAAUUUAAGCAAUAUUAGCAGGUGAAACUGCUAAUAGUAAGAAAUAAGGCAAUGUCCCAGACCAUGUCAAUAAACAGGUUAACCCACUGGCAUGGUAUACUGGAAACCCAGGGAAGGCUAAAACAGCAGUGCCAGUCAAAAUACAGCUUAAAGACCCCAGCCAUUUUCCCAAUGGAAAACAAUACCCAGUUGAACAGGAAGCAAGCAAAGGUCUAGCUCCCAUAGUUGAGAUAUUACUUACCCAUGGACUCUUAAAACCCUGCAAUUCUCCCUGCAAUACCCCCAUCUUACCUGUUCUCAAGCCUGGGGGGAAUACCAGCUAGUACAGAACCUCAGAAUAAUGAAUGAGGCUGUUAUCCCCGUCCACCCAUUGGUGGCAGAUCCAUAUGCCCUCCUGGCUCAGGUGCCAGGGCAUGCAAAAUGGUUCUCAGUCCUAGACCUUUCUUCUCCAUUCCUCUGGCCCCGAGCCCCCCAGUACCUUUUUGCUUUCGAAUGGGAAAAUCCUAAUACCAGAUAAAAACAAUACACUUGGACAGUGCUUCCUCAGGGCUUUCGGGAUAGCCCCCACUUCUUUGCCUGAGCAUUAGAGCGGGAUCUGAGGGAUUUCAAGUUAGAAAAUGGAGGUAUUCUUCAGUAUGGGGAUGACCUUGUGUGUAGCCCAACCUAGGAGGUUUCUGACCAAAAUACUAUAAAAACUUUGAAUUUCCUGGCAGACAGAGGAUACAAAGUGUCCAAAAAGAAGGCUCAGAUUACCCUCCAAUGGGUCCACUAUUUAGGAUAUGUCUUAACACCCGGAACCCGGCAAAUAUCCCCAGAAGGAGUGCAAGCUAUAUGUGGUUUGGCCGCGUGCACCACCCCCAGCCCCCACCCUGACCCACCUCCAAGCAGCAGCUUUGUUCCUUUUUGGGGAUGGCCGGGCUUUGGAGAAUAUGAGUACCAAAUUUUGGGCUCAUAGCAAAGCCCCUAUAUGAAGCAACAAGGGGGCCUGAAAAUGAGCUAAUGGAAUGGACCCCGGAAAUGAGGAAAGCCUUUGCCAAGUUAAAACAGGUUCUCACCCAGGCUCCUGCUCUUGGUAUCCCAGACCUAAUUAAGGCCUUCUCCUUGUAUGUAGCAGAGAAGAGGGGCAUAGCUGUGGGAGUGCUAGCCCAGAAAUUAGGAUCAGAACCCAGACCAACCGCCUACUUCUCAAAAAAGUUGGACGGAGUGGCCUCAGGAUGGCCAAGUUGCCUGCGGGCAAUAGCAGCCACUGCUGUUAGUGGAGGAAGCCACUAAAAUCACCCUAGGGCAACCACUGGAAGUUCUAACGCUCCAUCAGGUAAAGUUAGUCUUAGAAAUAAAGGGACACAUCUGGAUGACAGGGGAAAUGUUAACUAAAUACCAGCCCAUGCUCCUAGACAAUCCAGAUAUAACUCUUAAAACCUGCAACACUUUAAAUCCAGCUUCAUUGCUGCCCACAGGCCCAAUAAUUGAUCAUUCCUGUGAGCAGGUCAUUGCACAUACAUAUGUUAGCCAGCCUGAUUUAAAAGAUGAGGCUCUCCCAGAUUCUGAAGCUGACCGGCUCACAGACGGCAGUAGUUCUUUGUCGAAUGGGGAGCACAGAGCUGGAUAUGCAGCAGUAAAUCAUGACACAAUUAUUGAAGCCCAGCCAGUGCCCCCUGGCACAUCAGCACAAAAGGCUAAAAUCAUUGAUCUUACUCAAGCAUUAAUGUUGGGACAAGGGAAAAAACUUAACAUCUAUACAGAUUCUAAAUAUGCAUUCCUUGUGGUUCAUGCUCAUACCGCCAUCAGGAAAGAAAGGGGAUUACUUACUAGCAAGCACUCCCCUAUAGAGCAUGGACCUGAAAUUCUGCAGCUAUUGAAGGCAAUACACCUGCCAAAGGCCAUAGCUAUCAUUCAUUGUAGGGGGCAUCAAAGGGACUUAACCCCUAUAGCACAAGGGAAUGGAAAGGCUGACGGAAGCCAAAGCAAAAGCCCUCAGCGUGCAAUCCCAACAGAUCCUAGCACUGCUUCCUUUCUACAAUUCCCCAGUAGAACCCAAAUACACACCACAGGAAGAACAGCUAAUAAAAAAAGCAAGGGAGACAAAAACAAGGAUCCUGGUGGCAUAUGGAGCCAAAAAUAUAUCUCCCUCAGGCAGCCCAGUGGAGAGUUAUAAAAGCCCUGCAUGACUCUUUCCAUGUGGGGAGGGAUGCGGCUCUGGCCAUGGUAAACAAGUUCUUUACUGGGUUUAACUCAGCUUCAAUGGCUAAGCAGGUCUGUCAAGCCUGCUCACUGUGUGCAUUUAACAAUCCAGGCAUCAAAAUGCCCCCUCUAAUAAAACCAGUCCAAAGGAGGGGAACUUAUCCAGGGGAAGACUGGCAGUUAGACGUCAUCCAUAUGCCAGCUUGCAGAGGAUACAAGCUUUUGUUAAUACUAAUAGAUACUUUUAGGUUGGGUCAAAGGUUACCCCAGAAAAGGCUAAUGAGGUUCUAAGGUCCUCUUAAAAGAAAUAAUUCCCCAGUUUGGGUUACCUCAGGGUCUCCAAAGUGAUAAUGGCUAAUCCUUUAUCUCCCAAAUAACUCAAGGGGUUGCUAAGGCUCUUGGAAUAAAAUACUAUUUACAUUCAGCCUGGAGGCCCCAAUCCUCUGGAAAAGUGGAAAGGGUUAACCAAACUCUAAAAUAAGCACUAGCUAAACUAUGUCAGGAAACAUCAGAAACUUGGGUUAGCUUAUUGCUCACAGCCCUUUUAAGAAUUUGUAAUACCCCUAGCUCAAAAAUUAACAGAAGCCCAUAUAAAAUGUUAUACAGAAGGCCAUUCUUAACUAAUGAUUUAAUUAUUGACCCAGAAAGAGUUGGUGUAAUUAAAUACCUAGUCAACCCAGAACAAUUCCAGCGGGUUUACAAGAGUUUGGAAUUCAAAGGCUCCUCACACUUGGAACUAACCAGCAACCCAAAAUCAGGCCAGGAGAUAGGGUACUUGUUAAAACAUGGAAUGAGGGAUCACCUGCCCAACAAUUACAACCCCAAUAGAAGGGACUUUUUUCAGUAAUACUGGCCACGUCUUCUGUGGUCAAAGUACUAGUAUUAGAUAGCUGGAUACAUCUUUCAAGGAUCAAACCAUCAAUACCAGAAGCUCCAGACCAGGAACCUGAAGUUCCCAUCAGCCAGUACACCUGUGAACCAGUGGAGGACCUGAAGUACCUGUUUAAAAGAUAGCCAAAAGAUAAGUAAAUGCCUACCAACUUUCUUUGGUGUCUUUGUUGCAUAGUUACUGUGGGCUGGAAAAUAGUAGCCAUUUUUAUCUUUGCAGUUUAAUUGCCUUCUUCCAAAUAGAUAAAAAUCACUUCCUUUGUAAUAAUUAAACAGAAUUUAAAAAAUACAUUUCUAUGACAAAUAUUCCUGAUGGCAUAAGUAUCCACCCCAAGGUUCCCAUUAAAUCUUUUAACCUAAAGUAUUUCCUCUCACCUAGAGAUCAUCGAGCUGUGUGACAAGGGUGCCAGCCACUCCAGGUGAAGACACCACCCCAGGCCAUCAAGGAUCUUCCCUACCUUCACUAAACAGAGCAGGGUGAAAGUUGUGUGAUCCCCAAUAGGUAGGGACUACACCCCAAGUCAGCAGGAAGCAGUUACAGAAGAAAGACCAUUGGUCCCUCUGCUUCCCAUAAAGAUUUAUGGGGAUCACAGCUUUCACGGGGGAGAUGAGGCAAGAGAAUAGGGCAUGCAGGCAGGGUACUUGAGGCCAAUCCACGCUGACUUCCUAGAACUGAAUUAAAUGAAAGCUCCUCAGCAAUGACAGGAAUGUGAAUGGCUUUGUAACUUCUUCCUCUCCAUUAAUGCUAUUUCCACUUUGUAACUUCACUUUCAUCCUCUCCAUUUACAUAGAUCACACACCAAGUAACAUCCUCUCCAUUUACAGUAGGGCGCAUUCCGAGUCAAUGACUCUGACUGCACUUCGUUCUCCUCAUUUACAUAGAACAUUCGCCAAGUAACCAAUGGGAAACCUCUAGAGUAUUGAAACUCCAGAAAAUUCCGUAAGUGGGGCUCUUGAGCGUCUACACUCGGGUCGCUCCCACACUGUGGCGUGUACUUUUAUUCUCAAUAAAUUCCCGCUUUUGCUUUCCUCGUUC